CUGGCCUUUGAACUAUAAAUAUUUGCUAUCGCUCAGGAACUUAAUGUUUUUAAUUGCUUUUAUAGCUUGCCUAAAUUUUGUUGUUUGGAAUCAAUUAGAAACAUUGUACCAAGUAAGUGACUCGUUUACCUCAUAGUUUUGUAUUGUCUUAAAGCAAAAGGUGUCUCAAACCCUCACUGUUUUUUUUUUUUUUCCCCUUUUUUUGUUGAUUUCAGUUUUUGCCUUCUAUAAUAGAGAGAGAGAGAGAUGAGCCAAGUGAUAGCUCCCGUAUUCAUGUUGGUAGAUAGCCAAACAUGAAUAAUUUUUGCCCCCUUUGCAAAAAGUUGGCUUUUCCAGAAAGAUGAGAUUAUGGUUGUUACAGGAGCAGCAGUGCUAUAUGAGGGGAGCAAUGGUGAAUGUGAUAGGGGAGGUGGCCGGUGGAUGGUCAAAUCGAUGGCAGGUUUCAAGUGAUGCAGUAGAAUUUUCCUUGUCCUUCAUAACAAGGGUUUAUGCCUAAGAGGCCUAUUGGUGGGCUUAGUGUACUAGUAGACUUAGUCUAUGACCAAUAACUAAGCAUUAUGUUCUUAUCAUAGGUAGUUUUUUGAAUGGAAGAAUAAUGAAUAGCUUGGGAAAAGCUCCGGUGUUCUCUCUAUUAUCUAACCCUGCGGACAACCCUAGCAGGCCCAGCCCUAGGCAUAUGCCCUCUAAGAGUAAGCCUAGUGCACCAAUUUUGGCCCAAAGUAGGGCCUCAUUUGGAAGAAGUAAUAAAUCGUAUUUGCUUCGGAAUUUUCUAAAGCUUUCAGUGAUGGAUCUGUGGUAAGUGGUUAAAGUGUACACAGCAGGUUUCGAGUUCAAAACUUCUCGCGUUCUCUUUGUUUUUAAUGUUGAAUGGUUAAAAGCUUUUUCUUCACGGAUUUUGGAGCUGCUGGGUUUUGAACCCUACACCAAAAGCUUAAGGAACUCAGCUUUUUGAGCUAAAUCUGUUGUGGAACAGCCCAGCAACCACCCAACAACAGAACAACAACACCUCAAGCACACAAACGCAGCCAGUCAACAGAGAAAAACGCAGCAAAGAAGAACAGAAAACAC
Molecule: long non-coding RNA, 1068 nt
Organism: Rhododendron vialii
Lineage: Eukaryota; Viridiplantae; Streptophyta; Magnoliopsida; Ericales; Ericaceae
Exons: 2
Source: RefSeq, a predicted model, not a curated record